Long non-coding RNA from Ictalurus punctatus (channel catfish), 1173 nucleotides. Lineage: Eukaryota; Metazoa; Chordata; Actinopteri; Siluriformes; Ictaluridae. The record is from Ensembl.
GCGAACGAGAAGGCGCUAGGAGCAAAGGAAAGUGGUUUUUCUAACAAACUCAUAUAAUCAGUUGCCCGACUUACUCCAAUUUGAUUCUUUUCACAUAUUUAGACAUAAUAUAGUACUAUGAAAUGUUUCUGACCCAAAAUAUUACGAAAUAUGAUUGUUUACAUUAAAAUGCAAAAGUUGAUGAAAAAGCAUGAUAAGGUGAAAAAAGUGACAUUUUAUGUCUAGAAAGUCAUUUUUCAUCAAAAGUGCAAUAACAAAACUAAUUCCCAUUCAUCCAGUGUCCCCAUGCACACUUGUGCUCUUUAUCCGCUCAAAACGCUAUAGAGCCAACGAGAAGGCGCUAGGAGCAAAGGAAAGUGGUUUUUCUAACAAACUCAUAUAAUCAGUUGCCCGACUUACUCCAAUUUGAUUCUUUUCACAUAUUUAGACAUAAUAUAGUACUAUGAAAUGUUUCUGACCCAAAAUAUUACGAAAUAUGAUUGUUUACAUUAAAAUGCAAAAGUUGAUGAAAAAGCAUGAUAAGGUGAAAAAAGUGACAUUUUAUGUCUAGAAAGUCUCUUUUCAUCAAAAGUGCAAUAACAAAACUAAUUCCCAUUCAUCCAGUGUCCCCAUGCACACUUGUGCUCUUUAUCCGCUCAAAACGCUAUAGAGCGAGCGAGAAGGCGCUAGGAGCAAAGGAAAGUGGUUUUUCUAACAAACUCAUAUAAUCAUUUGUCCGACUUACUCCAAUUUGAUUCUUUUCACAUAUUUAGACAUAAUAUAGUACUAUGACAUGUUUCUGACCCAAAAUAUUACGAAAUAUGAUUGUUUACAUUAAAAUGCAAAAGUUGAUGAAAAAGCAUGAUAAGGUGAAAAAAGUGACAUUUUAUGUCUAGAAAGUCACUUUUCAUCAAAUGUGCAAUAACAAAACUAGUUCCCAUUCAUCCAGUGUCCCCAUGCACACUUGUGCUCUUUGUCCGCUCAAAACGCUAUACAGCGAUUGAGAAGGCGCUAGGAGCAAAGGAAAGUGAUUUUUCUAACAAACUCAUAUAAUCAAUUGCCCGACCUACUCCAAUAUGAUAUUUUUCACAUAGUUACACAUAAUAUAGUACUAUGAAAUGUUUCUGACCUGAAAUAUUACGAAAUAUGAUUGUUUACAUUAAAAUGUAAAAGUAGCUGAGAAAGUGUGAUAAG